RNAcentral lists this ribosomal RNA (108 nucleotides) under Octodon degus (degu). The record is from RNAcentral. Lineage: Eukaryota; Metazoa; Chordata; Mammalia; Rodentia; Octodontidae.
GGCUGUAUACCACCCUGAACACCCCCCAUCUCGUCUGAUCUCGGAAGCUAAGCAGGGUCGGGCCUGGUUAGUACUUGGAUGGGAGAAUGAUCUCAGGCUGUAAGGUCC